This 82-nucleotide transfer RNA is filed under the name Scleropages formosus (Asian bonytongue). RNAcentral's name for it is "tRNA-Ser". It matches the Rfam family "tRNA". From Rfam's summary of the family: Transfer RNA (tRNA) molecules are approximately 80 nucleotides in length. Their secondary structure includes four short double-helical elements and three loops (D, anti-codon, and T loops). Lineage: Eukaryota; Metazoa; Chordata; Actinopteri; Osteoglossiformes; Osteoglossidae. The record is from RNAcentral.
GUAGUUGUGGCUGAGUGAUUAAGGUGGUGGAGUAGAAAUCCAUUGGGGUCUCCCUGCACAGGGUCAAGUCCUGCUAACUUCA